Molecule: long non-coding RNA, 362 nt
Organism: Oncorhynchus tshawytscha (Chinook salmon)
Lineage: Eukaryota; Metazoa; Chordata; Actinopteri; Salmoniformes; Salmonidae
Source: Ensembl
AGGUACUAGGGAUGGAGAUGUGAUCAGGUACUAGGGAUGGAGAUGUGACUAGGUACUAGGGAUGGAGAUGUGACCAGGUACUUGGGAUGGAGAUGUGACUAGGUACUAGGGAUGGAGAUGUGACCAGGUGCUAGGGAUGGAGAUGUGACUAGGUGCUAGGGAUGGAGAUGUGACUAGGUACUAGGGAUGGAGAUGUGACCAGGUACUAGGGAUGGAGAUGUGACUAGGUACUAGGGAUGGAGAUGUGACCAGGUGCUAGGGAUGGAGAUGUGACUAGGUGCUAGGGAUGGAGAUGUGACUAGGUACUAGGGAUGGAGAUGUGACCAGGUACUAGGGAUGGAGAUGUGACCAGGUACUAGGGA